AAUAUAUGAUGAAUAAAAAAUACGAUUAACUCACGAGUCCUGAGUAUAAAUAGAACUCAACACGACUCAGUUGAGCGUGAGUUAAAAAUGAAAU
This is a small nucleolar RNA of Plasmodium gallinaceum, 94 nucleotides long. RefSeq annotates it as small nucleolar RNA snoR16. The transcript has a single exon. The record is from RefSeq and is a predicted model, not a curated record. NCBI's taxonomy places the organism in Eukaryota, Apicomplexa, Aconoidasida, Haemosporida, Plasmodiidae.